CUGAGUAAAGUGGCGCACGGGUGAGUAACACGUGACUAACCUACCCUUGAGUGGGGAAUAACUAGGAGAAAUCUUAGCUAAUACCGCAUAACACCUACGGGUCAAAGGAGCAAUUCGCUUAAGGAGGGGGUCGCGGCAGAUUAGUUAGUUGGCGGGGUAAUGGCCCACCAAGACAGUGAUCUGUAUCCGGCCUGAGAGGGCGCACGGACACACUGGAACUGAAACACGGUCCAGACUCCUACGGGAGGCAGCAGUGGGGAAUUUUGCGCAAUGGGGGAAACCCUGACGCAGCAACGCCGCGUGGAGGAUGAAGUCUCUUGGGACGUAAACUCCUUUCGAUCGGGACGAUAAUGACGGUACCGAGAGAAGAAGCCCCGGCUAACUUCGUGCCAGCAGCCGCGGUAAUACGAGGGGGGCGAGCGUUGUUCGGAAUUAUUGGGCGUAAAGGGUGCGUAGGCGGUUCGGUAAGUCUUGUGUGAAAUCUUCAGGCUCAACUUGAAGUCUGCACGAGAAACUGCCGGGCUUGAGUGUGGGAGAGGUGAGUGGAAUUUCCGGUGUAGCGGUGAAAUGCGUAGAUAUCGGAAGGAACACCUGUGGCGAAAGCGGCUCACUGGACCAUAACUGACGCUGA
Molecule: ribosomal RNA, 631 nt
Filed under: Acidipila sp.
Lineage: Bacteria; Pseudomonadati; Acidobacteriota; Terriglobia; Terriglobales; Acidobacteriaceae
Description: bacterial SSU rRNA
Rfam family: Bacterial small subunit ribosomal RNA
Source: RNAcentral